CUGCUGCUAAGGUUUCCACCCUAGAUGCAAGAAAAAGAAGUCUUUGCAAUUUCUGUCUGUCUGGUUGUGGCAGCCAAGAUUGAAUGGGGGAAUAUAGGA
RNAcentral lists this small nucleolar RNA (99 nucleotides) under Dasypus novemcinctus (nine-banded armadillo). RNAcentral's name for it is "Small nucleolar RNA SNORA31 (ENSDNOG00000036065.1)". The record is from RNAcentral. Lineage: Eukaryota; Metazoa; Chordata; Mammalia; Cingulata; Dasypodidae.